Molecule: ribosomal RNA, 429 nt
Filed under: uncultured prokaryote
Description: bacterial SSU rRNA
Rfam family: Bacterial small subunit ribosomal RNA
Source: RNAcentral
UCGAGAAGCUUCGGCAAUGGGCGAAAGCCUGACCGAGCGACGCCGCGUGAGCGAUGAAGGCCCUAGUGGUUGUAAAGCUCUGUCAGAUUGGGAAUAAAUGCCGGGGGCGAAUAACCCCUGGAGCUGAAGGUACCGUCAGAGGAAGCACCGGCUAACUCCGUUCCAGCAGCCGCGGUAAUACGGAGGGUGCAAGCGUUGUUCGGAUUCACUGGGGAUAAAGGGUGCGUAGGCGGCCGCGUAAGUCAGAGGUGAAAGCUGCCAGCUUAACUGGCAAAUUGCCUUUGAGACUGGGAGGCGUGAGUCCGGGAGAGGAAGGCGGAAUUCCAGGUGUAGCGGUGAAAUGCGUAAAUAUCUGGAGGAACACCGGUGGCGAAGGCGGCCUUCUGGUCCGGUACUGACGCUGAGGCACGAAAGCCAGGGGAGCAAACG